GGCUCAGGAUGAACGCUGGCGGCGUGCUUAACACAUGCAAGUCGAACGAAGCACUUUUUACAGAUUUCUUCGGAAUGAAGUUUUAGUGACUGAGUGGCGGACGGGUGAGUAACGCGUGGGUAACCUGCCUCACACAGGGGGAUAACAGUUGGAAACGGCUGCUAAUACCGCAUAAGCGCACAGUACCGCAUGGUACAGUGUGAAAAACUCCGGUGGUGUGAGAUGGACCCGCGUCUGAUUAGCUAGUUGGCAGGGUAACGGCCUACCAAGGCGACGAUCAGUAGCCGACCUGAGAGGGUGACCGGCCACAUUGGGACUGAGACACGGCCCAAACUCCUACGGGAGGCAGCAGUGGGGAAUAUUGCACAAUGGGCGAAAGCCUGAUGCAGCGACGCCGCGUGAGCGAAGAAGUAUUUCGGUAUGUAAAGCUCUAUCAGCAGGGAAGAUAAUGACGGUACCUGACUAAGAAGCACCGGCUAAAUACGUG
Molecule: ribosomal RNA, 487 nt
Filed under: uncultured bacterium
Lineage: Bacteria
Description: bacterial SSU rRNA
Rfam family: Bacterial small subunit ribosomal RNA
Source: RNAcentral